This 405-nucleotide long non-coding RNA is filed under the name Triticum aestivum (bread wheat). RNAcentral describes it as "long non-coding RNA (TAES_LNC020146)". The record is from RNAcentral. Lineage: Eukaryota; Viridiplantae; Streptophyta; Magnoliopsida; Poales; Poaceae.
AACUUAUCAUAGUCUAGUAGCCGAUACUCACCAAAUAGUAAUGAGGAUGUAAGCAGCUCGACCAAACAAAUGACUUUUAUGCCCUACCAUUUUCAUAACAGAAUUUAGUAAUGGUUGUGUGCAACAGAGUUCACCAUAAACAACAAUAAAAUACGUUCACAAGUUCAAUUAAUUAUUUAAGGGCUGCAGUAGCUCAUGGACCCCCGAAAGCUGCACUUGGCACCUGAACAUUCCAUGAGAAGCACCAUAGAGCAACGAUACUUCCAGUACAACAGAGUUAAUCAUAAACCAUAAUACAGGACGAGUUCAUAACUUUGCCAAUUAUUUAUUUAUUAAGGGCUGCACUACCUCCUGGACCCCCCGAAGCGGCACCUGGGACCUGACCAAAGGUAGAUAGAUACACAU